GAUGAACGCUGGCGGCGUGCCUAACACAUGCAAGUCGAACGGAGUCGUUUUGGCAAUCUCUUCGGAGAUGGAAUUCUCGACUUAGUGGCGGACGGGUGAGUAACGCGUGAGCAAUCUGCCUUUAAGAGGGGGAUAACAGUCGGAAACGGCUGCUAAUACCGCAUAAAGCUUUAAAUUCGCAUGUUUUUGAUGCCAAAGGAGCAAUCCGCUUUUAGAUGAGCUCGCGUCUGAUUAGCUAGUUGGCGGGGUAACGGCCCACCAAGGCGACGAUCAGUAGCCGGACUGAGAGGUUGAACGGCCACAUUGGGACUGAGACACGGCCCAGACUCCUACGGGAGGCAGCAGUGGGGAAUAUUGCGCAAUGGGGGAAACCCUGACGCAGCAACGCCGCGUGAUUGAAGAAGGCCUUCGGGUUGUAAAGAUCUUUAAUCAGGGACGAAACAAAUGACGGUACCUGAAGAAUAAGCUCCGGCUAACUACGUG
Molecule: ribosomal RNA, 483 nt
Filed under: uncultured bacterium
Lineage: Bacteria
Description: partial 16S ribosomal RNA
Rfam family: Bacterial small subunit ribosomal RNA
Source: RNAcentral